GGCAGAGUAGAUAGGAGGUGACCCCGAGCAAACUUUGGAACUGAUAGGGGCGAAGUUCCGUCCUGCAUCAGCAGCUUAUGUUCACCUCCUAUUUAAAGAGUUUCAAGUGAUACAAGAAAACAAAAAAUAAUGUUGAAAUAGGCUCUUGUACACAACUACUCUUCUACAGUCUGCCAUCACAGCUGAUUUCACUUGUGGCUCACGGGACCCCCUUCAGCCUCGUGACGUCAUGCAAUGCCUAGCAUUGGUGCUGCAUUCACGUGCUCCUCGGACGUAUGUUCAUGUAGGAAUGUGGGACCAACAUGGAAGACAACAAGCUGUUUGCCGUUUUAUCACUAAGAACGUUAAAACAGUUUUAAACGAUACACUGACUGCCUUUUUAAAACGUUUAUCAACCUUAUGUUUACUUUUGCACAGUUAAGUUAGCCCACUUUCAUCAGGAUCACUCUUAAUAACUGAAAACAUCUGUUCAUAUAGGCAGGGCCUUAAAACUGGCGUUGAAGAAGAUGCAAUUUACAAAGUAUGGUUAAAAAUAAAAGGUCUUGGUUCAGGACCCCACUGAUGAAAACACAACAACGAAAGACACUUAAAUGUUCCUUGAAUGCAAAAUGACCUCUUUAAUUUUGCAAAUUAACAGGACAGCCAUUUCCAUUAAUUUAAAAUUGACCAAGUACAGACAAUUGCUCUACCAUGACAAAAGCCUAUAUGUGAUUUUCUGGUGUUAGUGUACAAAAAAAAC
This is a long non-coding RNA of Acanthopagrus latus (yellowfin seabream), 739 nucleotides long. RefSeq lists it as uncharacterized. The transcript is spliced from 2 exons. NCBI's taxonomy places the organism in Eukaryota, Metazoa, Chordata, Actinopteri, Spariformes, Sparidae. The record is from RefSeq and is a predicted model, not a curated record.